RNAcentral lists this ribosomal RNA (425 nucleotides) under uncultured bacterium. Its description in RNAcentral is "bacterial SSU rRNA". It matches the Rfam family "Bacterial small subunit ribosomal RNA", at positions 354 to 796 of the family's 1533-position model. The record is from RNAcentral.
GUGGGGAAUAUUGGACAAUGGGGGCAACCCUGAUCCAGCCAUGCCGCGUGAAUGAAGAAGGCCUUAGGGUUGUAAAGUUCUUUCACCCAUGAAGAUGAUGACGGUAAUGGGAGAAGAAGCCCCGGCUAACUCCGUGCCAGCAGCCGCGGUAAUACGGAGGGGGCAAGCGUUGUUCGGAAUUACUGGGCGUAAAGGGCGCGCAGGCUGCGUGGUUAGUCAGAUGUGAAAGCCCCGGGCUUAACCUGGGAACUGCAUUUGAUACUGCCGCGCUAGAGUUCGGGAGAGGGUAGUGGAAUUCCCAGUGUAGAGGUGAAAUUCGUAGAUAUUGGGAAGAACACCAGUGGCGAAGGCGGCUACCUGGACCGAUACUGACGCUGAGGCGCGAAAGCGUGGGGAGCAAACAGGAUUAGAAACCCGAGUAGUCC